GAUGAACGCUAGCUACAGGCUUAACACAUGCAAGUCGAGGGGCAGCAUGGUCUUAGCUUGCUAAGGCCGAUGGCGACCGGCGCACGGGUGAGUAACACGUAUCCAACCUGCCGUCUACUCUUGGACAGCCUUCUGAAAGGAAGAUUAAUACAAGAUGGCAUCAUGAGUCCGCAUGUUCACAUGAUUAAAGGUAUUCCGGUAGACGAUGGGGAUGCGUUCCAUUAGAUAGUAGGCGGGGUAACGGCCCACCUAGUCUUCGAUGGAUAGGGGUUCUGAGAGGAAGGUCCCCCACAUUGGAACUGAGACACGGUCCAAACUCCUACGGGAGGCAGCAGUGAGGAAUAUUGGUCAAUGGGCGAGAGCCUGAACCAGCCAAGCAGCGUGAAGGAUGACUGCCCUAUGGGUUGUAAACUUCUUUUAUAAAGGAAUAAAGUCGGGUAUGGAUACCCGUUUGCAUGUACUUUAUGAAUAAGGAUCGGCUAACUCCGUGCCAGCAGCCGCGGUAAUACGGAGGAUCCGAGCGUUAUCCGGAUUUAUUGGGUUUAAAGGGAGCGUAGAUGGAUGUUUAAGUCAGUUGUGAAAGUUUGCGGCUCAACCGUAAAAUUGCAGUUGAUACUGGAUAUCUUGAGUGCAGUUGAGGCAGGCGGAAUUCGUGGUGUAGCGGUGAAAUGCUUAGAUAUCACGAAGAACUCCGAUUGCGAAGGCAGCCUGCUAAGCUGCAACUGACAUUGAGGCUCGAAAGUGUGGGUAUCAAACAGGAUUAGAUACCCUGGUAGUCCACACGGUAAACGAUGAAUACUCGCUGUUUGCGAUAUACUGCAAGCGGCCAAGCGAAAGCGUUAAGUAUUCCACCUGGGGAGUACGCCGGCAACGGUGAAACUCAAAGGAAUUGACGGGGGCCCGCACAAGCGGAGGAACAUGUGGUUUAAUUCGAUGAUACGCGAGGAACCUUACCCGGGCUUAAAUUGCAGAUGAAUUACGGUGAAAGCCGUAAGCCGCAAGGCAUCUGUGAAGGUGCUGCAUGGUUGUCGUCAGCUCGUGCCGUGAGGUGUCGGCUUAAGUGCCAUAACGAGCGCAACCCUUGUUGUCAGUUACUAACAGGUUCCGCUGAGGACUCUGACAAGACUGCCAUCGUAAGAUGUGAGGAAGGUGGGGAUGACGUCAAAUCAGCACGGCCCUUACGUCCGGGGCUACACACGUGUUACAAUGGGGGGUACAGAGGGCCGCUACCACGCGAGUGGAUGCCAAUCCCCAAAACCUCUCUCAGUUCGGACUGGAGUCUGCAACCCGACUCCACGAAGCUGGAUUCGCUAGUAAUCGCGCAUCAGCCACGGCGCGGUGAAUACGUUCCCGGGCCCU
RNAcentral lists this ribosomal RNA (1359 nucleotides) under uncultured bacterium. Its description in RNAcentral is "bacterial SSU rRNA". It matches the Rfam family "Bacterial small subunit ribosomal RNA", at positions 28 to 1382 of the family's 1533-position model. The record is from RNAcentral.